Molecule: ribosomal RNA, 492 nt
Filed under: uncultured bacterium
Lineage: Bacteria
Description: partial 16S ribosomal RNA
Rfam family: Bacterial small subunit ribosomal RNA
Source: RNAcentral
AGUGAACGCUGGCGGUAGGCCUAACACAUGCAAGUCGAACGGCAGCACAGUAAGAGCUUGCUCUUACGGGUGGCGAGUGGCGGACGGGUGAGGAAUACAUCGGAAUCUACUUUUUCGUGGGGGAUAACGUAGGGAAACUUACGCUAAUACCGCAUACGACCUACGGGUGAAAGCAGGGGAUCUUUGGACCUUGCGCGAUUGAAUGAGCCGAUGUCGGAUUAGCUAGUUGGCGGGGUAAAGGCCCACCAAGGCGACGAUCCGUAGCUGGUCUGAGAGGAUGAUCCGCCACACUGGAACUGAGACACGGUCCAGACUCCUACGGGAGGCAGCAGUGGGGAAUAUUGGACAAUGGGCGCAAGCCUGAUCCAGCCAUACCGCGUGGGUGAAGAAGGCCUUCGGGUUGUAAAGCCCUUUUGUUGGGAAAGAAAAGCAGCAGGUUAAUACCCCGCUGUUCUGACGGUACCCAAAGAAUAAGCACCGGCUAACUUCGUG